Molecule: microRNA, 22 nt
Filed under: Sarcophilus harrisii (Tasmanian devil)
Lineage: Eukaryota; Metazoa; Chordata; Mammalia; Dasyuromorphia; Dasyuridae
Description: Sha-Mir-12475-P2b_3p* (star (passenger))
Source: RNAcentral
ACAGUGUGUCUGAGAUCGGAGU